UACAGAGGGUGCAAGCGUUGUCCGGAAUCACUGGGCGUAAAGCGUGCGCAGGCGGUUCGUUGUGUCGGCGGGGAAAGCCCCGGGCUCAACCUGGGAAUGGCCGUUGAAACUGGCGAACUGGAGUGUGGCAGAGGGGGGUGGAAUUCCGCGUGUAGCAGUGAAAUGCGUAGAGAUGCGGAGGAACACCGAUGGCGAAGGCAGCCCCCUGGGCUGACACUGACGCUCAGGCACGAAAGCGUGGGGAGCAAACAGG
RNAcentral lists this ribosomal RNA (253 nucleotides) under uncultured bacterium. Its description in RNAcentral is "partial 16S ribosomal RNA". It matches the Rfam family "Bacterial small subunit ribosomal RNA", at positions 524 to 776 of the family's 1533-position model. The record is from RNAcentral.